UGGAUCCAGACUUUGAUCAUGGCUCAGGAUGAACGCUAGCUACAGGCUUAACACAUGCAAGUCGAGGGGCAGCAUAUCAGUAGCUUGCUACUGGUGAUGGCGACCGGCGCACGGGUGAGUAACGCGUAUCCAACCUUCCCAUGACUGGGGAAUAACCUUGCGAAAGUAAGACUAAUACCCCAUGGUUUCCGAGGCGGACAUCCAAUUUGGAAUAAAGAUUCAUCGGUCAUGGAUGGGGAUGCGUCUGAUUAGCUUGUUGGCGGGGUAACGGCCCACCAAGGCGACGAUCAGUAGGGGUUCUGAGAGGAAGGUCCCCCACAUUGGAACUGAGACACGGUCCAAACUCCUACGGGAGGCAGCAGUGAGGAAUAUUGGUCAAUGGACGAGAGUCUGAACCAGCCAAGUAGCGUGCAGGAUGACGGCCCUAUGGGUUGUAAACUGCUUUUAUACGGGAAUAAAGUGGCUCACGUGUGGGUUUUUGUAUGUACCGUAUGAAUAAGGACCGGCAAAUUCCGUGCCAGCAGCCGCGGUAAUACGGAAGGUCCGGGCGUUAUCCGGAUUUAUUGGGUUUAAAGGGAGCGUAGGCCGCCGAUUAAGCGUGUUGUGAAAUGCCGCAGCUCAACUGUGGCACUGCAGCGCGAACUGGUUGGCUUGAGUGCGCGGAAGGCAGGCGGAAUUUGUGGUGUAGCGGUGAAAUGCUUAGAUAUCACGAAGAACCCCGAUUGCGAAGGCAGCUUGCCGCAGCGUAACUGACGCUGAAGCUCGUAAGUGCGGGUAUCGAACAGGAUUAGAUACCCUGGUAGUCCGCACGGUAAACGAUGGAUGCCCGCUGUUCCGGCUAUAUGUUGGAGUGGCCAAGCGAAAGCGUUAAGCAUCCCACCUGGGGAGUACGCCGGCAACGGUGCAACUCAAAUGAAUUGACGGA
RNAcentral lists this ribosomal RNA (925 nucleotides) under uncultured Bacteroidota bacterium. Its description in RNAcentral is "bacterial SSU rRNA". It matches the Rfam family "Bacterial small subunit ribosomal RNA", at positions 1 to 917 of the family's 1533-position model. The record is from RNAcentral. Lineage: Bacteria; Pseudomonadati; Bacteroidota.